This 839-nucleotide ribosomal RNA is filed under the name Apiospora iberica. Its description in RNAcentral is "Arthrinium ibericum partial large subunit ribosomal RNA". It matches the Rfam family "Eukaryotic large subunit ribosomal RNA", at positions 78 to 943 of the family's 3401-position model. Lineage: Eukaryota; Fungi; Ascomycota; Sordariomycetes; Amphisphaeriales; Apiosporaceae. The record is from RNAcentral.
CCCUAGUAACGGCGAGUGAAGCGGGAACAGCUCAAAUUUGAAAUCUGGCCCUUGGGUCCGAGUUGUAAUUUGCAGAGGAUGCUUUUGGUGCGGUGCCUUCCGAGUUCCCUGGAACGGGACGCCUUAGAGGGUGAGAGCCCCGUACGGUUGGACACCAAGCCUAUGUAAAGCUCCUUCGACGAGUCGAGUAGUUUGGGAAUGCUGCUCAAAAUGGGAGGUAUAUUUCUUCUAAAGCUAAAUAUUGGCCAGAGACCGAUAGCGCACAAGUAGAGUGAUCGAAAGAUGAAAAGCACUUUGAAAAGAGGGUUAAAUAGCACGUGAAAUUGUUGAAAGGGAAGGAUUUAUGACCAGACUUUUUCUGGGGGGAUCAUCCGGUGUUCUCACCGGUGCACUUCCCCUAGUUGAGGCCAGCAUCGGUUUCUGUCGAGGGAUAAAAGCUUUAGGAAUGUGGCUCCCUUCGGGGAGUGUUAUAGCCUGUUGCAUAAUACCUUGACGGGGACCGAGGUUCGCGCAUUGCAAGGAUGCUGGCGUAAUGGUUAUUAAUCACCCGUCUUGAAACACGGACCAAGGAGUCGAACAUUUGUGCGAGUGUUUGGGUGUUAAACCCUCACGCGUAAUGAAAGUGAACGGAGGUGAGAGCCUUUCGGGGUGCAUCAUCGACCGAUCCUGAUGUCUUCGGAUGGAUUUGAGUAAGAGCAUAACUGUUCGGACCCGAAAGAUGGUGAACUAUGCGUGGAUAGGGUGAAGCCAGAGGAAACUCUGGUGGAGGCUCGCAGCGGUUCUGACGUGCAAAUCGAUCGUCAAAUCUGCGCAUGGGGGCGAAAGACUAAUCGAACCAU